UACGAAGGGGGCUAGCGUUGUUCGGAAUUACUGGGCGUAAAGCGUGCGCAGGCGGCUUCUCAAGUCAGGGGUGAAAGCCCAGAGCUCAACUCUGGAAUUGCCUUUGAGACUGAGUGGCUUGAGUACGAGAGAGGUGAGUGGAAUUCCCAGUGUAGAGGUGAAAUUCGUAGAUAUUGGGAAGAACACCGGUGGCGAAGGCGGCUCACUGGCUCGUAACUGACGCUGAGGCGCGAAAGCGUGGGGAGCAAACAGG
RNAcentral lists this ribosomal RNA (253 nucleotides) under uncultured bacterium. Its description in RNAcentral is "partial 16S ribosomal RNA". It matches the Rfam family "Bacterial small subunit ribosomal RNA", at positions 524 to 776 of the family's 1533-position model. The record is from RNAcentral.